UCCUCAAUUACCUGACUUCCCACCAUUUCCACCAAAAGUUUUCCACAAACAUCCUCUUUUCCCUCAUAUUCCUAUCUACAAGAAACCUCUCCCUCCUCCUGUGCCUGUCUAUGUAAAACCUCUUCCCCCUCCUGUGCCUAUCUAUAAGCCUCCUGUAUAUGUAAAACCUCUCCCUCCUCCAGUGCCUAUCUAUAAGCCACCUGUUUACGUGAAACCUCACCCUCCUCUUGUGCCUGUUUAUAAACCACCUGUAUACGUGAAACCUCACCCUCCUCCUGUGCCUGUCUAUAAACCACCUGUAUAUGUGAAACCUCACCCUCCUCCUGUGCCUGUCUAUAAGCCUCCUAUUAUUCCAGUUACUAAACCGCUUCCACCACCGGUUCCGUUCAAGAAACCAUGUCCACCAAAGAUUGAGCAUCCAAUUCUACCACCUGUUCCAAUAUAUAAACCUCCAAUAGUUCCAAAGCCACCGGUGGUUCCGAUCGUCAAGCCACUUCCUCCUCCAGUUCCAAUUUACAAACCACCAGUUGUCACUAAACCUUUUCCUCCAUUCAAGAAACCACCAUGUCCACCAAAGAUUGAGCAUCCAAUUCUACCACCUGUUCCAAUAUAUAAACCUCCAGUAGUUCCAAAACCACCGGUGGUUCCGAUCGUCAAGCCACUUCCUCCUCCAGUUCCAAUUUACAAACCACCAGUUGUCACUAAACCCUUUCCUCCAUUCAAGAAACCACCAUGUCCACCUCUUCCCAAGCUCCCUCCAAAGCCAUUUUUCCAUCACCCCAAGUUUGGAAAAUGGCCUCCAAAGCCUUUUUUCCAUCACCCCAAGUUUGGAAAAUGGC
RNAcentral lists this long non-coding RNA (839 nucleotides) under Cicer arietinum (chickpea). RNAcentral describes it as "long non-coding RNA (CARI_LNC001889)". The record is from RNAcentral. Lineage: Eukaryota; Viridiplantae; Streptophyta; Magnoliopsida; Fabales; Fabaceae.